CAAGCCUUGACAUCCCGCCGUUUUAGUUCUGCAGAAAUGCGGAGCGAUUUUUAAGAAAUUGAAAAAGGCGGGACAGGUGUUGCAUGGCCGUCGUCAGCUCGUGCCGUAGGGUGUUCCCUUCAGUGGGGUAACGAGCGCAACCCUUGCCCUGAGUUGAAUAUUCUCAGGGGACUUCUUAAAUUUAUUUUAGGAGGAAGUGAGGACGACGUCAGGUCAGCAUGGCCCUUAUAGCUUGGGCUACACACAUGCUACAAUGGAGCCGACAGAGGGUAUAGCCAAGUCGCAAGACGGAGCUAAUCCCAUCAAACGGCUUCUCAGUGGGGAUUGGGGGCUGCAAUUCGCCCCCAUGAACGCGGAAUUGGUAGUAAUCGCGAAUCAGCUACGUCGCGGUGAAUACGUUCU
RNAcentral lists this ribosomal RNA (402 nucleotides) under uncultured bacterium. RNAcentral's name for it is "bacterial SSU rRNA". It matches the Rfam family "Bacterial small subunit ribosomal RNA", at positions 975 to 1374 of the family's 1533-position model. The record is from RNAcentral.